UAUUUCUUCAGGCUCUACAAAUCAUAAAUAAAUAGAGAUUGAAGAGCGGCUGGGAAGUAAUAGGUUAGCUAAAUCCUCCCACUCCCGUGAAGUUAUUUUAUCACUCAACACCUUCUGUUGCUUGGGCACACCGGAAUACAAGUCACUUUUCUUGAGAGAAAGGUGUGUCACCUGUCUUUUUUGUGUUUAGAGGUGUUAGCCCCUGAAAGUUGCUCCCAAACUGAAAGCCACGGCCGCCCCUGCAGGAGUGCCGUCACAGCCUCAGGACCUUGAGUUUACCAAAUUACCAAACGGCUUAGUGAUGGCUUCUCUGGAAAACUAUGCUCCUGCAUCAAGAAUCGGUUUGUUCAUUAAAGCUGGCUGCAGAUCUGAGGACUCCAACAACUUAGGAACCUCUCAUCUGCUUCGUCUUCACCCAGUUUGACUACUAAAGGAGCUUCAUCUUUCAAGAUAACCCAUGGAAUCGAAGCAGUUGGUGCUAAAUUAAGGAUUGUUAAAAAUAAGUAAAGUAAAUGAAUAGUGAAAACCCCAGAAAAUAUUCGAUUAUAAGGGAACUUUUCUGUCUUCUCAAGGCAAUUAAGAAUUUGUUAAACAGACACAAGAAGAAGGCAACGGGGGCGCCUGGAUGGCUCAGUGGGUUAAGCCUCUGCCUUCGUCUCAGGUCAUGAUCCCAGCCCAUAUCUUUCUGCCUUCACACUUAAUCCUUUCCCGGUUUAAAAGGACGGCAGUAACUCCAAGUGCCAGAACAUCAAACGAAAUUGAAAAAUUUCAUCAAAAAUGGAAGAUUAGAGAGAUCAAAAGGGCACAUAUCCACCUGAACUCUGGAACUUCCUACCUCUAUACUUUUUGUUCUGCGUGAUAUCUUUGGUUUGCUCAUAAAAGCAGAAGUCUGGGGGCAGAGGGCUAAUAUGCCCCUUGUGGGGUGGUGCGAUAUCAGAGAACACGUGUGGGGGACAGGGAGGAGGAAGAGCGCCUAUGAGAAAGCAUUAUCAAGUUGGCUGCCAUGAAGUGUGACUGUCCCCUAGGAAGCCCUGUCAACUGCAUGUCAGGCCAGUGCCUCUAGAGGGCUGGCGUGGGGGAUGCUUUCCCCACCAGCUCUCGGCUUCCAAGGGUCACAGGUUCGCCUGCGGUGUGCUGAUUGCCUGGGACUUCUGAGUUUUGCAUGCCAGGGUACCAGCUCAAGUCCCACAGCGCCCAACAGCUUGGCACUAACUAACAGGGAAGCCUUGGGGAGAUGAGACAUGUGGGGUCCAGGUGAAGGGGUGAGUUGAGGUGCAGUCCGAGGGCACAUGCUUCUCAUGGCAUCUCAGGGGUGGGUAGGAGUGGGGUGAAGCGGUGUCUCAUGUGCUCCGGCCCUUGCAUCAACAAGAGCUGCCUGUUGACCUCUGCUUUUGCAAACAAGACGUCCUUCCUUCUUCCCGGAGAGAAAACGUCCAAGUCUGAUUAGUCACAGAGUCCGCAUCCAGCUGGGAGCCAGCUAAAUUCCUGGACAAGUCUCAAGGCAGGAGGGUUUGUAAAACCAUGAUCCCUGCCCUUGCAGUUGGUGCGGAGCUCCUCGUUCCUACGCUCACCUUCGCCCUCCGCUACCCUGCGAGGUUCCUCUGAGCCCUUGCCCUUGUUGGACCGUGGUUCCUGGAACUGCCAGUCUUCUGUUCACGUGGGCCACGGGGGCAGCACGGGAUGCCUCGGUGACUUCUCCCUGCCCCCACUCUGUGUUUGCACCCCGAGUGCCUCAUGUACUCAGAAUCAGGGAAGCUCACUUGCACUCGUCCCUCGUUUCUUUGGCUCCUUGCCCACUGGCAUGAGGAAUGCAACGCACUGAGAGGAUGAGAGUGGCACCUAGGAGGUGCUGAAUUCAAUAGGACAUAGCCUGUCGUUUAAGGGACUUGGAGGUGGAGUGUCCGCAGCGGUGACCUGGAAAGGCCAAGAAUGCCUCCCCCAGAGCACAGCACCCUCCGGGCCUCGGGCACACC
Lutra lutra (Eurasian river otter) is the source of this 1973-nucleotide long non-coding RNA. RefSeq lists it as uncharacterized. The record is from RefSeq and is a predicted model, not a curated record. The transcript has 3 exons. Lineage: Eukaryota; Metazoa; Chordata; Mammalia; Carnivora; Mustelidae.